AUUGAACGCUGGCGGCAGGCCUAACACAUGCAAGUCGAACGGUAACAGGAAGCAGCUUGCUGCUUCGCUGACGAGUGGCGGACGGGUGAGUAAUGUCUGGGAAACUGCCUGAUGGAGGGGGAUAACUACUGGAAACGGUAGCUAAUACCGCAUAACGUCGCAAGACCAAAGAGGGGGACCUUCGGGCCUCUUGCCAUCGGAUGUGCCCAGAUGGGAUUAGCUGGUAGGUGGGGUAACGGCUCACCUAGGCGACGAUCCCUAGCUGGUCUGAGAGGAUGACCAGCCACACUGGAACUGAGACACGGUCCAGACUCCUACGGGAGGCAGCAGUGGGGAAUAUUGCACAAUGGGCGCAAGCCUGAUGCAGCCAUGCCGCGUGUAUGAAGAAGGCCUUCGGGUUGUAAAGUACUUUCAGCGGGGAGGAAGGGAGUAAAGUUAAUACCUUUGCUCAUUGACGUUACCCGCAGAAGAAGCACCGGCUAACUCCGUG
Molecule: ribosomal RNA, 490 nt
Filed under: uncultured bacterium
Lineage: Bacteria
Description: partial 16S ribosomal RNA
Rfam family: Bacterial small subunit ribosomal RNA
Source: RNAcentral